GCAUUGAUGCCGCCACUGAGGUGGUGGUGAAGGCACUAGUGGAGAUGAGCCGGCCAAUCAGCUCCAAGGAAGAGAUUGCAUCCGUCGCCACCAUCUCUGCCAAUA
RNAcentral lists this non-coding RNA (105 nucleotides) under Heterosigma akashiwo. The record is from RNAcentral. Lineage: Eukaryota; Raphidophyceae; Chattonellales; Chattonellaceae.